UUGAAAAUGAAAAUAUGGGAGGUUCGUGAUCCUGGGUAUAGUGAUUUGAUUAGAUUUUGGAGACUACUUAUUAUCAGCGAUAUUAAUUUCAAAACUUCCUAGUGCAUCAAAGUCGGAUUUUGGUAGAUUGACAAAUUUCGAGUUGAGUAAUAGUGCUUCUUAUCAAUGGAAGUGCUCACCUAAUGUGGAAAAAAAAAAAGGUGCAACUUUCUAAAGCCUUGCGCUUCGAACAAGGCGCACUCCUAGUGAUAGAUUCAAAAAGAAAAGAGAAGGAAACCAGAGAGAUAAAAGAAAGAAUCAGAGAAAGGUGAGAGAAGCCAGAGAAGAGAAAUAGAGAAAGAAAACCAAUUCAUUGAUGUUAUGGAAAGUCAAUCAUUAU
RNAcentral lists this unclassified non-coding RNA (379 nucleotides) under Hevea brasiliensis (rubber tree). The record is from RNAcentral. Lineage: Eukaryota; Viridiplantae; Streptophyta; Magnoliopsida; Malpighiales; Euphorbiaceae.